Molecule: long non-coding RNA, 137 nt
Organism: Sinocyclocheilus anshuiensis
Lineage: Eukaryota; Metazoa; Chordata; Actinopteri; Cypriniformes; Cyprinidae
Exons: 2
Source: RefSeq, a predicted model, not a curated record
GUCUUAUGACAAAUGCAAUGUCAGAUGCUUCGCAUUUGAACUUUGGCUAAGGACACCUAACAAACCUAAAUGUAUUAUCACCCUGAAAACAUCCCAUGAUACAUCACUGCCAACAACAUCCUGAUACAAGUGCUGGG